CAAGGUUACCUAGCUAUAGCGUCCUGCAGUCGAGCGGAUGAAGAGAGCUUGCUCUCUGAUUCAGCGGCGGACGGGUGAGUAAUGCCUAGGAAUCUGCCUGAUAGUGGGGGACAACGUUUCGAAAGGAACGCUAAUACCGCAUACGUCCUACGGGAGAAAGCAGGGGACCUCCGGGAUCCUAGUGCGUCAUAUACUAGAUGAGACUAUGUGUCGCAUUAGCUAGGUGGUAAGCUAACGGCUCACCAAGGCCAUCGAUCCGUAACUGGUUCUGAGAGGAUGAUCAGUCACACUGGAACUGAAGACACGGUCCAGACUCCUACGGGAGGCAGCAGUGGGGAAUUAUUGGACAAUGGGCGAAAGCCUGAUCCAGCCAUGCCGCGGGUGUGAAGAAGGUCUUCGGAUUGUAAAGCACUUUAAGUUGGGAGGAAGGGCAUUAACCUAAUACGUUAGUGUUUUGACGUUACCGACAGAAUAAGCACCGGCUAACUUCGUGCCAGCAGCCGCGGUAAUACGAAGGGUGCAAGCGUUAAUCGGAAUUACUGGGCGUAAAGCGCGCGUAGGUGGUUUGUUAAGUUGAAUGUGAAAGCCCCGGGCUCAACCUGGGAACUGCAUCCAAAACUGGCAAGCUAGAGUAUGGCAGAGGGUGGUGGAAUUUCCUGUGUAGCGGUGAAAUGCGUAAAUAUAGGAAGGAACACCAGUGGAGAACGCGACCACCUGGGCUAAUACUGACACUGAGGUGUCGAAAGCGUCGGGGAGCAAUACAAGACCAGAUACCCUGCUAGCCCACUGGUGUCCGUAUCAACGAUCUCGACUAGCCGUUGGGAUCCUCGAGAUCUUAGUGAACUUGCCACGACCUAACGCUAUCUAAGCCGACCGCCUGGGGAGGACCGCUCGCAAGGAUAAAACUCGAGGCAAUCGAAUUCGAUACAAGAACCACGCACAAGCGCAUAGAGCAUGAUGCUUCAAUUCGAAGCAACGCGAAGAACCUUACCAGGCCUUGACAUACAGAGAACGGUCCACGAGAUGGAUUGCGGGUGUCAUACGGGAACUCUGACACAGGUAAGAAAACAUGGCUAGUCGAUCAGCUCAUGCUCGUGACCAAAUUGGAUCUAAGUCACGUAACGAGCAGCAACCCUUAUCUCUUAGUUACCAGCACGGGAGAGAUGCGGCACUCUAAGUGAGACAUGCCAGUGACGAAACCGGAGGAAGGUGGCCAUGACGUCAAGUCGAUCAUGGCCCUUACGGCCUGGGCUACACACGUGCUACAAUGGUCGGUACAAAGGGUUGCCAAGCCGCGAGGUGGAGCUAAUCCCAUAAAACCGAUCGUAGUCCGGAUCGCAGUCUGCAACUCGACUGCGUGAAGUCGGAAUCGCUAGUAAUCGUGAAUCAGAAUGUCACGGUGAAUACGUUCCCGGGCCUUGUACACACCGCCCGUCACACCAUGGGAGUGGGUUGCUCCAGAAGUAGCUAGUCUAACCUCGGGGGGACGGUACCACAGAGUGACUGAAUUGG
RNAcentral lists this ribosomal RNA (1512 nucleotides) under Stutzerimonas chloritidismutans. RNAcentral's name for it is "bacterial SSU rRNA". It matches the Rfam family "Bacterial small subunit ribosomal RNA". Lineage: Bacteria; Pseudomonadati; Pseudomonadota; Gammaproteobacteria; Pseudomonadales; Pseudomonadaceae. The record is from RNAcentral.